CCCUUAGAUGUUCUGGGCCGCACGCGCGCUACAAUGAAAAAUUCAACAAGUUUUCCUGCUUUGAAGAAAGUGGGUAAUCAUUGCAAUCUUUUUCGUGCUAGGGAUAGACCUUUGUAAUUGUUGGUCUUGAACGAGGAAUUCCUAGUAAGUGCAAGUCAUUAACCUGUACUGAUUACGUCCCUGCCCUUUGUACACACCGCCCGUCGCACCUACCGAUUGAAUGGUCCGAUGAAAUCUUUGGACUGAGUCGCCAAGCGAUUCGGAAAAUCGAUUAAGUCUUACCAUUUAGAGGAAGGUGAAGUCGUAACA
Molecule: ribosomal RNA, 309 nt
Filed under: uncultured eukaryote
Lineage: Eukaryota
Description: partial 18S ribosomal RNA
Rfam family: Eukaryotic small subunit ribosomal RNA
Source: RNAcentral